This 253-nucleotide ribosomal RNA is filed under the name uncultured bacterium. Its description in RNAcentral is "partial 16S ribosomal RNA". It matches the Rfam family "Archaeal small subunit ribosomal RNA", at positions 474 to 727 of the family's 1478-position model. The record is from RNAcentral.
UACCAGCACCCCGAGUGGUCGGGACGUUUAUUGGGACUAAAGCAUCCGUAGCCGGUUCUACAAGUCUUCCGUUAAAUCCAACUGCUUAACAGGUGGGCUGCGGAAGAUACUAUAGAGCUAGGAGGCGGGAGAGGCAAGCGGUACUCGAUGGGUAGGGGUAAAAUCCGUUGAUCCAUUGAAGGCCACCAGUGGCGAAGGCGGCUUGCCAGAACGCGCUCGACGGUGAGGGAUGAAAGCUGGGGGAGCAAACCGG